CUAACGUCCGUCGUGAAGAGGGAAACAACCCAGACCGCCAGCUAAGGUCCCAAAGUCAUGGUUAAGUGGGAAACGAUGUGGGAAGGCCCAGACAGCCAGGAUGUUGGCUUAGAAGCAGCCAUCAUUUAAAGAAAGCGUAAUAGCUCACUGGUCGAGUCGGCCUGCGCGGAAGAUGUAACGGGGCUAAACCAUGCACCGAAGCUGCGGCAGCGAACGUAUCACUUAAAGCGAUUCAGCGGGUUACGAUUGACGGAGCGAAGCGACGUCAAAGCGUAUACAAAGUCGAGUCGGUUUAAGGAUACGUUCGUUGGGUAGGGGAGCGUUCUGUAAGCCUGUGAAGGUGGCCUGUGAGGGUUGCUGGAGGUAUCAGAAGUGCGAAUGCUGACAUAAGUAACGAUAAAGCGGGUGAAAAGCCCGCUCGCCGGAAGACCAAGGGUUCCUGUCCAACGUUAAUCGGGGCAGGGUGAGUCGACCCCUAAGGCGAGGCCGAAAGGCGUAGUCGAUGGGAAACGGGUUAAUAUUCCCGUACUUGGUGUUACUGCGAAGGGGGGACGGAGAAGGCUAUGUUGGCCGGGCGACGGUUGUCCCGGUUUAAGCGUGUAGGUGUGUGUUCCAGGUAAAUCCGGUU
This 628-nucleotide ribosomal RNA is filed under the name Salmonella enterica subsp. enterica serovar Derby. RNAcentral describes it as "partial 23S ribosomal RNA". It matches the Rfam family "Bacterial large subunit ribosomal RNA", at positions 998 to 1547 of the family's 2925-position model. The record is from RNAcentral. Lineage: Bacteria; Pseudomonadati; Pseudomonadota; Gammaproteobacteria; Enterobacterales; Enterobacteriaceae.